AGAAUCAACGCUGGCGGCGUGCCUAACACAUGCAAGUCGAACGCGAAAGCCCCGCAAGGGGUCAGUAGAGUGGCAAACGGGUGAGUAACACGUGGGUGACCUGCCUUCGAGUGGGGGAUAACGUCCCGAAAGGGACGCUAAUACCGCAUGACAUCCUGCCUUUGGAAAGGCGGAGAUCAAAGCUGGGGAUCGCAAGACCUGGCGCUUGAAGAGGGGCCCGCGCCUGAUUAGCUAGUUGGUAGGGUAACGGCCUACCAAGGCGACGAUCAGUA
Molecule: ribosomal RNA, 272 nt
Filed under: uncultured bacterium
Lineage: Bacteria
Description: partial small subunit ribosomal RNA
Rfam family: Bacterial small subunit ribosomal RNA
Source: RNAcentral